This 398-nucleotide ribosomal RNA is filed under the name uncultured bacterium. RNAcentral describes it as "bacterial SSU rRNA". It matches the Rfam family "Bacterial small subunit ribosomal RNA", at positions 28 to 418 of the family's 1533-position model. The record is from RNAcentral.
AACGAACGCUGGCGGCGCGCUUAACACAUGCAAGUCGAACGAGAAGGCGUAGCAAUACGCUUGUACAGUGGCGAACGGGUGAGUAAUACGUGGGCGACCUACCCUCGAGUGGGGAAUAACCCGCCGAAAGGCGGGCUAAUGCCGCGUACGCUUCCAUCUUUAUGGAGGUGGAAGGAAAGCCGUGCCGUGGGCACGGCGCUCAAGGAUGGGCUCACGUCCUAUCAGCUUGUUGGUAGGGAACGGCCUACCAAGGCUCCGACGGGUAGCUGGUCUGAGAGGACGAUCAGCCACACUGGCACUGCGACACGGGCCAGACUCCUACGGGAGGCAGCAGUGGGGAAUCUUGCGCAAUGGGCGAAAGCCUGACGCAGCGACGCCGCGUGAGGGAUGACGGCCUC